Molecule: unclassified non-coding RNA, 199 nt
Filed under: plant metagenome
Description: partial contains small subunit ribosomal RNA and internal transcribed spacer 1
Source: RNAcentral
AAAGGUCCGCAACAAAGGUUUUCCGUAGGGUGGAACCCUGCGGAAGGAUCAUUAAAAGAAUUCGGGCUUCGCGGCCAAGUUCUCACCCUUUGUAUACCGAAAACUAUGUUGCUUUGGCAGGCCCCUGCAUUCCUCGGGCCUGCCAGAGGUUAUAAAACCCUGAAUCUCUGCUGUCUGAGUACUAUGCAAUAGUUAAAAA